This is a long non-coding RNA of Loxodonta africana (African savanna elephant), 4655 nucleotides long. RefSeq lists it as uncharacterized. The record is from RefSeq and is a predicted model, not a curated record. Lineage: Eukaryota; Metazoa; Chordata; Mammalia; Proboscidea; Elephantidae. The transcript has 3 exons.
UAACUUUUUUCAAGUUUUAAUAGCAAAUUAUACCAUUUAAAAUUAAACCAUUUAAAAUGUCAGAUAGAUGAUAUGAAGAAGGAAAAAAGAGGUCACUUUUCACUAGAUUCCUGGUAUAGCCCAAGCCUCUUUUAAUUCAGACCAAAAAAAAUCUAAACAAAGCAGCAUAAAUGCAGAGAAACAGAGCAGAAGGAGAGCAGAAUUAGAUAGAUAAUGAGGUAUAAUGAGAAAAGCUUGAGAUUAGAAUUAAAAGGCUGGAAUUAUACUCCUAAUUUUUGCUUUAUAAACUUGGACACAUUUCUUAACUUCUCUAAGCCUCGAUAACCAAAUAUGUAAAAUGGGGAAAAUACAUAACUAAUAAUAUUGUUGUGAGAAUUAAGUAAAAUUAAUACAUGCAAAAGUGCUAGGACCAAACCCUGCAUGAUAGGUGCCAAGUACAUAGUUGUUGAAUCUAAAGCAGUACAAGGACGUUUUGAGAUCUGCAAUUGUUAAAAGAGUUACUAUUAUAAAAGGUGUCCUGAUUCCCAAUUCAAUGUUCAAUCUAUUAAUACUACCAUCAUUAAGUAGGCAUUACUUUGGCUUUCUUCUUGCUCCAUACCACAAGUUAGCAACUCCUCUGAGUUUUGCCUCUUUUGAUUAAUAGUAUUGCCUUCUCCCCGUCUCUCAGACUCAAAACUGUCUAGUCCCAUUCAACUCUUGCUGGUACUUCACUUCUCAUGCCAAAUCAAUGAGCUCCUUCUACUGUAUUCAGUAAAACAAGCACAAAUUACGUUGAAUGAUUUGGGGGAUAAAGAAAAGAGGUAAGACCCAAAGGCUCCUUUCAAGUAACUUACAAUGUUGCAAGAAGAUAAGACAUGAAUACAUAUCACUAAAAUAAAAAGCAGGUUUUUGUAAGUACCAUAAAAAGAGACACAAUAGGGUACUGGACCACGGAAGAAGGGAAUCUUACUUUUAGGAAGCGUGUAUGUGUAUGUUUACUUGUGUGUGUGAAAGACACACACAGAGAGAGAAUAUGAACAGUGAGGAAGGUAGAGCUCAAUAUGUGGUUUCGGAAAGGAAAGAGAAAAGGAGAUUUCUUUAGACCACACAGUAUGACCAAAGGCCUGGGUGUGGCAAAGGACAAGACAGGUUCAGAUAAUGUGGAAUAACGUCUUUGGAAUGUGGAAAAGAAAGAGGGAAAGAAAAAGACUGGUGACCCUGGAAAGCCCUGAAUGAUACCCUAAGAUGUUUCAACUUUCCUCUACUGGUAACAAGGGCCACUGAAGUGUACAGACAAGGAGGGAAAUGAUAACUGGUGCUGUGCUCUUAUUUGGCAGAGUGAGGAAGAUGAACUAGACAAAGGAAAAAUAAGAGACAGAGAAACUACCAGAAGCUGUUGCAAUAGUCUGCAAUAGUGAGAGAAGACAGUAACUGGAAAUAGGAUAGUGGUAACAGAGAAGAAAAGACAAUGCAAGCCAUUUUACUCAACAGUAGGGCUUAAAGAAGAAUACAGGAUAGGGCCUACUCUCAAGAAGGUUAUAACUGUCAAUUUGUGUCUAGAAUCAACGCUAUGCUACCACUUCUCUGACAAAAUAGAAGGAACUGUUUUCCUUUCACACGCAAAUCCAGUCAGAAAACAAACCAUUUCACAAUUAUCCAGACCAUGGACAAGAAAUGCGGGUACACAUGACCCGGAAGUUGCAUUACUCCUAACUGUUGAGCAGAGAGAGCAUGUCCCAUAUGAACCUGCCUCUGUUUUUUGGGUCAGAUCCCAAAGUCUCUAAGCAUAUAGGAUGAGGCCAUGACUUCUUCCUAUUGCUCUUGGCAACCAGAAAACUUAGGUGGACCCAAUUUAGCUUAACAAUGGCCAGAUCAUACUAGGUAGUGUUCUGUUCUGUUCCGGUGAUGAAGAAGGAACUUGAAAUCCUAUGCUACCAGGAUUCAGGGAGGUUCUGCUGGAGUCAUGACUGUAGUAUCCUAAGAUAUAAGUGGCUAAUGUGUGGAAAAGCAAUUUGAUUUAUUUUGUAUGAUUCCACACACUAAGACUGAACUAGCAUCAGUAGGGACAUACUAUGGAAAAGUAGAUUUUGGCUCAGUAUAGGUAAAAACAUUUUAAAAGAGCAGUCCAAAGUAGGUCCAUUAGAAACCAGAGAGCUACUCAGCAUUGGAGAUAUUGAAGAGGAAACAGUCGCCAGAUAGUAAAUAUGUCAGCCUUUGAAGGCCAUAUAGUCUCUGCCACAGCUACUCAACUAUGGCUGAAAGCAGCCAUAAACAAUGCAUAAACAAAAUGAAUCAGGAGACAAGAGACUAAAGUCUCUUCCAACCUUGAGAGGACUUACAUACUGUUAACCAAGAUAAAUCUGAUAUGGUAAUUUGAUCAUAUUACUCAGAUUCUUGGAACAGAUCAAUGUGGUCUUCUAAAUAAUCAAGUAUUAACUAAAACAGUCUUUUAGUGUCAGCCUUGACAGUUAAAGAUAUUUCUACAGGUUCAGUAGCUUCUGCCCUGCCUUAGGUAUUAUAUCAAAGAUAACAUGUCUUUUCUUGAUGACUAAGGGCUUCUCAGGGCCUCAACUCAUCUUUCCAGAUAUCAAAUCUUACAUGCCGUGAGGUUAAAGUAGUAGAAGAAGCAAGACAUUUCUUGGAAGAAGGCUUUGUGUAACUCCUAGAAAUGGGCGUGUCCUUUUAACUUCCCUCUUUUUGAUGACAGUAGGGCAAAAACUACCAAGGAACCAGGAGAAUCCUGCCUAGCGAGGAUUAUAGUUAGUCAGAAUCUAACUGAGGUUACUGGAUAGCAAUAAACGGAACCUAUUACGUAAAUUAAGACCAUAAUGUUCGCAUUUUCAAAAAGCUCUUUGCUUUAGUAACACACACACGCGCACACACACACUUCUUCCCCACAGUGAAACUCCCAGGUGGUAAUGUGGUUUGAAUUCCAGCUCAAUCACAAAGACAGAAAAUCUAAUCUAACUUCUGAAGUACAACUGUAUCCUAAUAUAAUGCAGCAUGAAGUAUACCAGAUCAAGUCUUACGUCUCAUGACAGUUAAGAGCAAACAAUAAGGGUCUGGUAGGGUCAUGUUACAGUCACACAUUUCUGGAGGAACAUUUCCAAACCGUCAUUUACGGUUCCCGGUGCAGAGAAGUGGAAGUAUAAGAGAAAGAAUACAGGAAACUAUGACAAAUACAAACACUUCUGUAUUUUUUAACAAAUACAAAAUGAGGCCACUGAAUGGUUUAAAGUUUUUUCAUAUAUAUAUUUUUAAAAGAUCAUUCUAGCUUCUGGCAAAUGGAGUGAGGGGGGUAAGAACAUAAGUAGGGAGCCCAGAUAUACUAAUGCACAAGAAACAAUGGCAUUUUGGACCAGGACAGUGGCAAAGGAGGUUGAAAUGACUGGCCUUGGUAACGGACUGACUAUGGGGGAUACAGAAGAAGGAAGAAAAAAGCCAGACUCCAAGAUUUCCAGCUUGAGCAGGUAAACGGAGUUUCCCUGGGGUGUGGCCUGCACCAUCUUUUAUCUCUCAAGACAUAACGGGAAGCAAGCAGAGAGUUGGGGACCUCAUACCACCAAGAAAGCAGCACCAGGACCAGAGCGCGUCCUUUGGACAUGGGAUCUCUGCGCCUGAGAAGCUCCUAGACCAGGGGAAGAUUGAGGACAAGGACCUUCUUCCAGAGCCAACAAAGAGAGAAAGCCUUCCCCUAGAGCUGACGCCUUGAAUUUGGUCUUUUAGCCUACUUUACUGUGAAGAAAUAAAUUUCUCUUUGUUAAAGCCAUCCACUUGUGGUAUUUCUGUUAUAGCAGCAGUAGAUGACUAAGACGAAUUCAUACACUCAUGUAAAACUAUAAACAAAAGUAAGGAAGUGAUUACAUAAAAUUCAAGAUACUUAGAAGGGGUGACAGAGUGGAGUAAGAUGAUUGGGAAGGAACAUACAGGAGCUUCUGAGGUGCUGGCAAUGCUUACCUUCUUGUCUUAAGUAGUUGUUACAUGAGUGUUUGCUUAAUUUUACUCUACGUUAUGUUUUAUACAUUUUUUGUAUAUGUAUUAUAUUUCACAAUAAAACGUUUUAAAAGAAGAAGACAUAAUUGGAGGCAUCCUGGAAGGAUAAUGAAUGUAGGCAAAGUCUGGAGGCAAGGAGAGAUAUUAAGUGUUGGUCAGGCAAUAGUACAGGCAAGGGUAGGAGAGCUCAAGCCAGGUCAUUGGUAGUAGAGAUGUUGUUGCUGUGUGCUGAUAAGUUGAUUUCAACUCAUAGUGAUCCUCUAUGGGGGUCACAGAGCAGACCACAGGGUUUCCUAGGCUGUAAUCUUUAUAGGAGCAGAUUGCCAGAUCUUUUCUCCUGUGGAGCCACGGGGCGGGGGGGGCGGGGUUCAAACUGCUGACCUUUAGGUUAGCAGCUAAGCACUUAACCAUUGUGCCACCAGGGCUCUUUCAGUAGUAGGGAGAAAAUGAUUUAAGAACUAUUUAGGAGUUAGGUCUUAGUGACCCGUUAGAAAUGAUGACUGAGAGAGAGGUAAGAGUUGAAAAAAGGAUGGCAGAAUUUCAAAAGUUUCAAGUUUGGGCAACUGGAUGAUAAAAGCAAAAAACUAAGCCCACUGCCAUAGACUUGAUUUCGACUCACAGUAAGCCUAUAGGUGGAGUAGAACUGCCCCAUAGUGUUUCCAAGGCUGUAAUCUUUUUUUUUU